RNAcentral lists this ribosomal RNA (446 nucleotides) under uncultured bacterium. Its description in RNAcentral is "partial 16S ribosomal RNA". It matches the Rfam family "Bacterial small subunit ribosomal RNA", at positions 338 to 795 of the family's 1533-position model. The record is from RNAcentral.
CCUACGGGUGGCAGCAGUCGAGAAUCAUUCACAAUGGGGGAAACCCUGAUGGUGCGACGCCGCGUGGGGGAAUGAAGGUCUUCGGAUUGUAAACCCCUGUCAUGUGGGAGCAAAUUAAAAAGAUAGUACCACAAGAGGAAGAGACGGCUAACUCUGUGCCAGCAGCCGCGGUAAUACAGAGGUCUCAAGCGUUGUUCGGAAUCACUGGGCGUAAGGCGUGCGUAGGCUGUUUCGUAAGUCGUGUGUGAAAGUCGCGGGCUCAACCCGCGGACGGCACAUGAUACUGCGAGACUAGAGUAAUGGAGGGGGAACCGGAAUUCUCGGUGUAGCAGUGAAAUGCGUAGAUAUCGAGAGGAACACUCGUGGCGAAGGCGGGUUCCUGGACAUUAACUGACGCUGAGGCACGAAGGCCAGGGGAGCGAAAGGGAUUAGAUACCCGAGUAGUC